This 346-nucleotide ribosomal RNA is filed under the name uncultured bacterium. RNAcentral's name for it is "bacterial SSU rRNA". It matches the Rfam family "Bacterial small subunit ribosomal RNA", at positions 1 to 334 of the family's 1533-position model. The record is from RNAcentral.
GUGAGUAGUUCAGAGUUUGAUCCUGGCUCAGGAUGAACGCUAGCUACAGGCUUAACACAUGCAAGUCGAGGGGCAGCAUGAACAUAGCUUGCUAUGUUUGAUGGCGACCGGCGCACGGGUGCGUAACACGUAUCCAAUCUGCCCGUUACUCGGGGAUAGCCUUCUGAAAGGAAGAUUAAUACCCGAUAGUAUUCAUUAGCGGCAUCGCUUAUGAAUUAAAGAUUUAUUGGUAACGGAUGAGGAUGCGUACGAUUAGCUAGUUGGCGGGGUAACGGCCCACCAAGGCAACGAUCGUUAGGGGUUCUGAGAGGAAGGUCCCCCACACUGGAACUGAGACACGGUCCAG